UGAAUUAUAAAUAAAUAAAAGUUAUUUUGAUAUUUUUUCAUCACAAAUGUUUCAUCUUCUAAUGAACUCCUGUGUUGUAGUGAAGUCCUUAGGACUAUUUAGACUCGACAAAGGAGGAUUUGUCGUUUAGUCCUUAAACAUGUUCGCGACCAAAUGAUACGUUGUUACCAAGGACGACAAUAUUUAUCGAGUAUAGGUCGUUGUGUGUCAUAUGGGUUGGUUGUCCUCAUAA
RNAcentral lists this long non-coding RNA (232 nucleotides) under Elaeis guineensis (African oil palm). Its description in RNAcentral is "long non-coding RNA (EGUI_LNC008945)". Lineage: Eukaryota; Viridiplantae; Streptophyta; Magnoliopsida; Arecales; Arecaceae. The record is from RNAcentral.